CCUACGGGAGGCAGCAGUGGGGAAUAUUGGGCAAUGGUCGCAAGCCUGACCCAGCAACGCCGCGUGAAGGAAGAAGGCUUUCGGGUUGUAAACUUCUUUUCUCAGGGACGAAGCAAGUGACGGUACCUGAGGAAUAAGCCACGGCUAACUACGUGCCAGCAGCCGCGGUAAUACGGCGGUGGCAAGCGUUAUCCGGAUUUGCUGGGUGUAAAGGGCGUGUAGGCGGGACUGGAAGUCAGAUGUGAAAACCACGGGCUCAACCUGUGGCCUGCAUUUGAAACUGUAGGUCUUGAGUACUGGAGAGGGAGACGGAAUUCCUAGUGUAGCGGUGAAAUGCGUAGAUAUUAGGAGGAACACCAGUGGCGAAGGCGGUAUGCUGGACAGCAACUGACGCUGAGGCGCGAAAGCGUGGGGAGCAAACAGGAUUAGAUACCCCAGUAGUC
Molecule: ribosomal RNA, 443 nt
Filed under: uncultured bacterium
Lineage: Bacteria
Description: partial 16S ribosomal RNA
Rfam family: Bacterial small subunit ribosomal RNA
Source: RNAcentral